GGCCGGCCCCCUCCCCAGGCCCCUCCUUCCAGCCGAAGCUCCCGCUCACCCCUGCCACGUCAAAGGAGGCAGAAGGGGAGUCGGGAGCAGAGAGGGGACCACGGGCUGGCU
RNAcentral lists this microRNA precursor (111 nucleotides) under Mustela putorius furo (domestic ferret). RNAcentral's name for it is "miRNA (ENSMPUG00000021044.1)". The stretch from base 17 to 101 matches the Rfam family "mir-3154 microRNA precursor family". The record is from RNAcentral. Lineage: Eukaryota; Metazoa; Chordata; Mammalia; Carnivora; Mustelidae.